UAGUCAAUCCUGAUCCGAGCCAUCGCCGCGUGAGGGAAGACGGUUCGGAUCCGUUAAAGCUCUGGUGUAGGUCAAGAACGGGUGGUGAGAGGUGGAAAGUCACACUGUGACGGUAGCUUACCAGAAAAGGGACGGCUAAACUACGUGCCAGCAGCCCGCGGUAAUACGUAGGUCCCGAGCGUUGUCCGGGAUUUAUUGGGCGUAAAGCGAGCGCAGGCGGUUUGAUAAGUCUGAAGUUAAAGGCUGUGGCUCAACCAUAGUUCGCUUUGGAAACUGUCAAACUUGAGUGCAGAAGGGGAGAGUGGAAUUCCAUGUGUAGCGGUGAAAUGCGUAGAUAUAUGGAGGAACACCGGUGGCGAAAGCGGCUCUCUGGUCUGUAACUGACGCUGAGGCUCGAAAGCGUGGGGAGCGAACAGGAUUAGAUACCCUGGUAGUCCACGCCGUAAACGAUGAGUGCUAGGUGUUGGAUCCUUUCCGGGAUUCAGUGCCGCAGCUAACGCAUUAAGCACUCCGCCUGGGGAGUACGACCGCAAGGUUGAAACUCAAAGGAAUUGACGGGGGCCCGCACAAGCGGUGGAGCAUGUGGUUUAAUUCGAAGCAACGCGAAGAACCUUACCAGGUCUUGACAUCCCGAUGCUAUUUCUAGAGAUAGAAAGUUACUUCGGUACAUCGGUGACAGGUGGUGCAUGGUUGUCGUCAGCUCGUGUCGUGAGAUGUUGGGUUAAGUCCCGCAACGAGCGCAACCCCUAUUGUUAGUUGCCAUCAUUCAGUUGGGCACUCUAGCGAGACUGCCGGUAAUAAACCGGAGGAAGGUGGGGAUGACGUCAAAUCAUCAUGCCCCUUAUGACCUGGGCUACACACGUGCUACAAUGGUUGGUACAACGAGUUGCGAGUCGGUGACGGCGAGCUAAUCUCUUAAAGCCAAUCUCAGUUCGGAUUGUAGGCUGCAACUCGCCUACAUGAAGUCGGAAUCGCUAGUAAUCGCGGAUCAGCACGCCGCGGUGAAUACGUUCCCGGGCCUUGUACACACCGCCCGUCACACCACGAGAGUUUGUAACACCCGAAGUCGGUGAGGUAACCUUUUGGAGCCAGCCGCCUAAGGUGGGACAGAUGAUUGGGGUGAAGUCCGAAGCCUGUUGC
Molecule: ribosomal RNA, 1140 nt
Filed under: Streptococcus thermophilus
Lineage: Bacteria; Bacillati; Bacillota; Bacilli; Lactobacillales; Streptococcaceae
Description: bacterial SSU rRNA
Rfam family: Bacterial small subunit ribosomal RNA
Source: RNAcentral